Molecule: ribosomal RNA, 280 nt
Filed under: uncultured Glomus
Lineage: Eukaryota; Fungi; Glomeromycota; Glomeromycetes; Glomerales; Glomeraceae
Description: partial 18S small subunit ribosomal RNA
Rfam family: Eukaryotic small subunit ribosomal RNA
Source: RNAcentral
CCAAUAGCGUAUAUUAAAGUUGCUGCAGUUAAAAAGCUCGUAGUUGAAUUUCGGGACCGAUAUAUCGGUCGUGCCUCGGUACGUACUGGUAUUUUCGGUUUCUCCCUUCUGACGAACCUUGAUGUCAUUAAUUUGGUGUCUUGGGGAAUCAGGACUGUUACUUUGAAAAAAUUAGAGUGUUUAAAGCAGGCUCACGCUUGAAUACAUUAGCAUGGACUAAUGAAAUAGGACGUUUGAUUCUAUUUUGUUGGUUUCUAGGAUCGACGUAAUGAUUAAUAGG